GUGGCGAACGGGUGAGUAACACGUGAGCAAUCUGCCCUUGACUCUGGGAUAACUGCGGGAAACUGUAGCUAAUACCAAAUACUUUCCUCGCUGGGCAUCCAGCGGGGAAGAAAGAAUUUCGGUCAAGGAUGAGCUCGCGGCCUAUCAGCUAGUUGGUGAGGUAAAGGCUCACCAAGGCGACGACGGGUAGCCGGCCUGAGAGGGUGACCGGCCACACUGGAACUGAGACACGGUCCAGACUCCUACGGGAGGCAGCAGUGGGGGAUAUUGCACAAUGGGCGAAAGCCUGAUGCAGCAACGCCGCGUGAGGGAUGAAGGCCUUCGGGUUGUAAACCUCUUUUAGCAGGGAAGAAGCGAAAGUGACGGUACCUGCAGAAAAAGCACCGGCUAACUACGUGCCAGCGGCCGCGGUAGUACGUAGGGUGCAAGCGUUGUCCGGAAUUAUUGGGCGUAAAGAGCUCGUAGGCGGUUUGUCACGUCUGCUGCGAAAAUCCGAGGCUCAACCUCGGACUUGCAGUGGGUACGGGCAGGCUAGAGUGCGGUAGGGGAGAAGGGAAUUCCUGGUGUAGCGGUGGAAUGCGCAGAUAUCAGGAGGAACACCAAUGGCGAAGGCACUUCUCUGGGCCGUAACUGACGCUGAGGAGCGAAAGCGUGGGGAGUGAACAGGAUUAGAUACCCUGGUAGUCCAC
This 689-nucleotide ribosomal RNA is filed under the name uncultured Microbacteriaceae bacterium. RNAcentral describes it as "bacterial SSU rRNA". It matches the Rfam family "Bacterial small subunit ribosomal RNA", at positions 95 to 798 of the family's 1533-position model. Lineage: Bacteria; Bacillati; Actinomycetota; Actinomycetes; Micrococcales; Microbacteriaceae. The record is from RNAcentral.